This is a long non-coding RNA of Callorhinchus milii (elephant shark), 329 nucleotides long. RefSeq lists it as uncharacterized. The record is from RefSeq and is a predicted model, not a curated record. Lineage: Eukaryota; Metazoa; Chordata; Chondrichthyes; Chimaeriformes; Callorhinchidae. The transcript has 2 exons.
GGGCGGGAGCAAGACGGUGGAGGACUUUGAAGAGAAAAUGUGGAAGACAGACAACAUAAAGGCAGAUAAGCACCUGGCAAUUCUGGCCUACAGAAACACGCCGAACGACAAUGAGGGUCAUCCACCAGCACAAAUACUGAUGUCAAUACAGUUAAGAGAUUUGUUAAUCUCAGAUGAAAAAUAAUUGAGACCUCAGAUACAACACAUGAAGGACCAGUGAAAGAGGAUCAGGAGACAGAAAGCAGGAAGCGUGGAGAACUGACCAGAGGGUUUUGGAUUGGAUUAUUUGAUUUGUAACUUGUGAACCAAGAAUAAAAUAAAUUUCUACA